ACCGCUUCCUUAUCCUCUCGGUAUGCGCAUCGCCACCACCCUCGCUGCAGAGGCCGCCGCCCUCCCAGCGCGCCAUCACCGCCUCCUCUGCCUCUUCCCCUCCCUCAGCCCCGGCCCCUGCAUUGACUUGGCUCGGGCUGCGCCUCACUGCGCCUGCCAACUGUCACACGCUCUGAGGCUUUCAACAGCGGGGCGCCAGGGACAAACAAGCCGCGGCAAGCGCAAACAGCCUGCUCAAACAGGGACGGCCAGGGUGUUGUUUGACCAGCACUGGAAUUGGAAACUAGGUUUCGAAGAAGUCAAAUCGAAGUACAAUAUUGUAUUUUAAACUGCCUGUUGUUAUUACAUCCCUCACAACGCACGCUCUACUUGAAACUUCCAGUGGAUACCAACUGCACUUAGAAUAAAAAAUGAAACUCCUUGCCUAACUCUGGGACCUCAUCAGCACAUACUCACCAUAUUUUGGUAACAAAGGCCUUCAUGCUGUUCCCGGAAGUCGCCAAGUUCCAUCCAUCAUUGUUAAUAAUUCCUUUUGCUCGCUCCUCGCACAAGAACUGUUUCUUCUGCUUAGUGCUUUGCCUACUGAUUCCAUCUUGUCAUUUAAGUCUCGGCUCAAAUGUCACCUCUGCAAAGAACCCUUGUCUGACCAUACAUCUAAAAUAGCCACAAACACUCUAUAAAGACUUGGCCUUGCUUUAUUUCCUUCUCAGCACUCAUCACUGUCUGAAACAAUGUUUUGGAUUUGUUGCUUAUUAUCAGUCUCCCUUCUCAAGAAUGCAAGCUUUGUGAGGGCAGAGUCGUAAUCUUUUUUAAGGCUGUAUCCCCAAUGCCUGGAUUAUCAACUUCAGGCAAUGGACCACGCACCAGGAUUCCACCUCUUUCUAGCACCUAUCAGUGUUGCGCACAUCAUAGGCCCUCAACAAACAGUGUCCUUGUCUGGCUUCAAUAUCAGGGUAAUGCUGGCCUCAUAAAAACAGUUUCAGGCAGCCACGCUGGGGGAUCCCACAUGGUAAAGAACUGCAGGUGGCCUCUAGGAGAUGAGGGCGGCCUCCAGUCAACAGCCAGCAAGAAACUGAAGUGCUCUGUCCUACAACCUUGUGUAACUGAAUUCUGCCAACAACCUGAGUGAGACUGAAAGUGGAUCCCUCUCCAGUCAUGCCUCAGGUGAGACUGUAUCCCUGGAUGACACCUUGAUUCAGCCUCAUGUGACCCUAAGGAGACGACCCAUAUAAACUGUGCCUGGACUCAAGGCCCUCAGAAACUGUGAGAUAAUAAACAUG
This is a long non-coding RNA of Homo sapiens (human), 1280 nucleotides long. Lineage: Eukaryota; Metazoa; Chordata; Mammalia; Primates; Hominidae. The record is from Ensembl.